UUGAAACCCAGGGAUUAGAUACCCUGUUACUCUUUAUUUUAAAUAUAAAUACCUGGGUAUUAAACAGUUAUUGUCUCGAAACUCAAAGGAUUUGGCGGUAACUUAGUCUGUUUAGAGGAACCUGUCCUGUAAUCGAUAAACCACGCAGAAUCUUACCUUACUUUGUAGGUCCCAGUUUGUAUACCGUCAUUAUUAGGUAACUUUAAUAAAAAUCAGUUACUACAAUAAGUUAUUUUUAGUAUAUUAGAUCAAGGUGCAGCUGAUAGUAAGGUAGAGAUGGGUUACAAUAUAACAAGUAUAUAAUGAAUUAAGGAAUUAUAAUUCCUUAUGAAGGUGGAUUUAAAAGUAGAAAAGUUUUAAUAAGACUUCUCGAUUCUAGCUCUAGGUUAUGUACAUACGCCCCCGUCCGCUAA
RNAcentral lists this ribosomal RNA (413 nucleotides) under Hemipenaeus carpenteri. RNAcentral describes it as "partial 12S ribosomal RNA". Lineage: Eukaryota; Metazoa; Arthropoda; Malacostraca; Decapoda; Aristeidae. The record is from RNAcentral.